This 215-nucleotide ribosomal RNA is filed under the name Glomeraceae sp. RNAcentral's name for it is "partial small subunit ribosomal RNA". It matches the Rfam family "Eukaryotic small subunit ribosomal RNA", at positions 547 to 764 of the family's 1831-position model. The record is from RNAcentral. Lineage: Eukaryota; Fungi; Glomeromycota; Glomeromycetes; Glomerales; Glomeraceae.
UUUGGAGGGCAAGUCUGGUGCCAGCAGCCGCGGUAAUUCCAGCUCCAAUAGCGUAUAUUAAAGUUGUUGCAGUUAAAAAGCUCGUAGUUGAAUUUCGGGAUUAGUAAGUUGGUCGUGCCUUCGGUAUGUACUGAUGUUACUGGUUCCUCCUUUUUGAAGAACCGUAAUGUCAUUAAUUUGGUGUGGCGGGAAAUCAGGACUGUUACUUUGAAAAA